AGCUCAGCAUGGAAAUUGGGCCCUCGGCCUUGAAUUGUAGUCUCGAGAUGCAUCGCCAAUGGAGGCGCAGAUGUAAGCCUCUUGGAAAAGAGCAUCAACGAGGGUGAGAGUCCCGUUUGUCAUCUGCAGUCCCCCAUGCACGGCGUGCCUUCUAAGAGUCGCGUUCCUCGGAAUUGGAGCGUCAAUUGGGUGGUAAAUUUCAUCUCAAGCUAAAUAUUGGUUCGAGACCGAUAGCAAACAAGUACC
Molecule: ribosomal RNA, 246 nt
Filed under: Prorocentrum micans
Lineage: Eukaryota; Dinophyceae; Prorocentrales; Prorocentraceae
Rfam family: Eukaryotic large subunit ribosomal RNA
Source: RNAcentral